Molecule: ribosomal RNA, 232 nt
Filed under: Acinetobacter baumannii
Lineage: Bacteria; Pseudomonadati; Pseudomonadota; Gammaproteobacteria; Moraxellales; Moraxellaceae
Description: partial 23S ribosomal RNA
Rfam family: Bacterial large subunit ribosomal RNA
Source: RNAcentral
AUCGAUUUCCUAAGUAGCGGCGAGCGAACGGGAAAGAGCCCAAACCAAAGCCUUUGGCUUUGGGGUUGUGGACAGAACAUAAAAGUGUGAAAUUUUUAGUUGAAGAUAGCUGGAAAGCUACUCCGUAGAAGGUAAUAGGCCUGUAAGCAAAAAGAAUUAAACAUAAGUUCUGAUCCAGAGUACCACGAGACACGUGAAACCUUGUGGGAAGCAGGGAGGACCACCUCCCAAG